UUAUAUUUAAUAGAAUUAAACUAUUUCUAAAAGUAUCAAAAACUUUUGUGCAUCCUACACCAAAAUAUA
Molecule: transfer RNA, 69 nt
Filed under: Polleniopsis mongolica
Lineage: Eukaryota; Metazoa; Arthropoda; Insecta; Diptera; Calliphoridae
Description: tRNA-Gln
Source: RNAcentral